This 448-nucleotide ribosomal RNA is filed under the name uncultured bacterium. RNAcentral describes it as "bacterial SSU rRNA". It matches the Rfam family "Bacterial small subunit ribosomal RNA", at positions 329 to 793 of the family's 1533-position model. The record is from RNAcentral.
UCCCAGACUCCUACGGGAGGCAGCAGUGGGGAAUAUUGCACAAUGGGGGAAACCCUGAUGCAGCAACGCCGCGUGAGUGAAGAAGUAUUUCGGUAUGUAAAGCUCUAACAGCAGGGAAGAAGAUGACGGUACCUGAAUAAGAAGCCCCGGCUAACUACGUGCCAGCAGCCGCGGUAAUACGUAGGGGGCAAGCGUUGUUCGGAAUGACUGGGCGUAAAGGGUGCGUAGGCGGUGUAGCAAGUUAGAAGUGAAAUACCUAGAGCUUAACUCAGGUGCUGCUUCUAAAACUGCUAUACUUGAGUGCAGUAGAGGAAAGUGGAAUUCCUAGUGUAGCGGUGGAAUGCGUAGAUAUUAGGAGGAACAUCAGUGGCGAAGGCGACUUUCUGGACUGAAACUGACGCUGAGGCACGAAAGCGUGGGGAGCGAACAGGAUUAGAUACCCCGGUAC